UAGGGAAUCUUCCGCAAUGGGCGAAAGCCUGACGGAGCAACGCCGCGUGAGUGAUGACGGUCUUCGGAUCGUAAAACUCUGUUAUUAGGGAAGAACAAAUGUGUAAGUAACUAUGCACGUCUUGACGGUACCUAAUCAGAAAGCCACGGCUAACUACGUGCCAGCAGCCGCGGUAAUACGUAGGUGGCAAGCGUUAUCCGGAAUUAUUGGGCGUAAAGCGCGCGUAGGCGGUUUUUUAAGUCUGAUGUGAAAGCCCACGGCUCAACCGUGGAGGGUCAUUGGAAACUGGAAAACUUGAGUGCAGAAGAGGAAAGUGGAAUUCCAUGUGUAGCGGUGAAAUGCGCAGAGAUAUGGAGGAACACCAGUGGCGAAGGCGACUUUCUGGUCUGUAACUGACGCUGAUGUGCGAAAGCGUGGGGAUCAAACAGG
Molecule: ribosomal RNA, 429 nt
Filed under: Actinomycetes bacterium
Lineage: Bacteria; Bacillati; Actinomycetota; Actinomycetes
Description: Actinobacteria bacterium partial 16S ribosomal RNA
Rfam family: Bacterial small subunit ribosomal RNA
Source: RNAcentral